AGGGACAGGCAAGGAACAGACUGUUGGGCUCUUCCUGCUGCUGAAAAUUCACUGGGCACUGGAGGAGGAAAUCUACCUUCACUCUUCUGCCCUGAAUGUUUUCCCAAACAUGAAGGUAAGAUAGUAAUUUCAUUACAUUUGUGAAGGAAGCUAUCUCAAAAGGGAGUAAGGCUUAGCUGAAACCACUCAGAAAAGGAGAAGGCACGAAAGAUAGGAAAAAUUAACUUAUUGGUUUGGAGAUCUGGCAAUCAAGAUUGGAGACAAUGUUUGUGAGAAUCCCAAGAAAGUCAUUGAAAAAUGCAAUAAGACUCUUGUUAUUUUUCAGGGAAAGAUUUCCUCCACCGUGUUUUGUUUGUUUGAUUUGGAGUUAUACAACGAGCCCCUGUGAUUUAACUUAUCAAAGGGCUUUGUAGGAAACUGGAUUUGGAGACUUGGGACUUUAGGAUUUGGAAUCUGGAUGAGAGCAUCUUCUACUUUGUGAAAGUAGAAGAUACAGAUAGAUGGAAUGAAACUAAAGGUUUACCAAAAAAUAUAUAUUGGCCCAAUGCAAAAUAUCCAAAUGUUUAAAAAAGAAAAAAAAGACAGAAAUCACGCUCAUAGACCAGAUUUCCGGGAUGUAAAAAGAAGUGAAAUUGCUGCUACAAUUUUAUUAUUGCAAAGUUUUCUAUUUAAAGUUAAAAAAAUUGACAUUAUAGUGCUGCAACAAUAAUUUCUCAAGUCCGCCAACUGCUAGAUUGCUUUUGCGGCCACUGUGUAAUUUGCAAUACUGAACCUAUGCUCAUUCUUCAGUAGGGAAGUUGGAGGAGGAGUGAGACAAGGGUCUUGAGUUACUCAUGUGUGAAAUUACAUUCAAUUAAAUCAUUGAAAAUUAAACACAAAUCACAAAGUUAAUUUGUUUAAUAUUAUGAUUUUAGAAUGCCAAUAACCAUACAAACUCAGAAUCGCAGUGAGUCUAAUCUCUACGACUUUGUCUUGUAUUUUAUUUAAAAGUUUAGAACAUUUUCUUGCACACACAAAGAGAAUAUAAUGCCGUUCCUAGAGUCAUCUAGCUAAUAUGCUUUCUCCUAAUAUUUGUAUUAACCAUCAAUCAAUUUCCUUACUUAUUUUAUGAUGAGACACCUUAAUAAUUGUUUUGUGCUUAAAAAUGGGUUCAUAGUUAUUGAUUAUUAUGGUAUUUUUCUGCCAGAGUAGUAAAUGUACUUUUAUCCUUCAAAUGGCUGAUUAAAACGAUGAUUAAAGAAAUGAUUUACUUGCAAGUUGCAUGUGGAGUUCUCGUGUCUAUUUGAAAGUAGAUAUUCAUAUUUUUACAGUAAAUCUGAAGGGCAUGCUUUUGUGGAACAUUUCAGAGAAGGUAAACUUAGGCUAUGAAGACAUCACAAGAAAUGGUUUCCAGGUCUGGCCUUUUAUUUUACUGUAAUUUAAUUUUUUUGGCUACACCUCCCUGCAUGCAGAAGUUCCCAGGCCAGGGAUUGAACCUGCACUGCAGCAGUAACUAGAGCCACAGUAGUGACAAUGCCGGAUCCUUAACUUGUAAAGCCAUCAGGGUACUCCCAGGUCUGGCCUUUUAAGAGGGACUAUUCUUUUUGUCUCCCCCACCCCAUUCCUGUGAACUAAAUUCAGAGAAGUGGUCCCAGAAUUCCUUUGGUUCUCUUUGUAUCCCUUGGAUAGGAAAUAAUUGGGUCUGAAGUGUUUGAGGACUUCAGAACAAAAAAUGUUGCUCUCUGAGCUGGCUGUGGUCCAGACUUUCACUCUCUCAUCCCUGCACUGAAAUGAACCUGGGGUUUGUCAGCCUAAAGCGUGAUUCACACGGGGCUGGGAUGUGGUCAGGAACAGUGGUGCCUCAGAUGAGGGUCUCUCUGCUUCCUCGCCAUCCAGAGCUGAUGUGAUGUUAUCAGCUGUCUUCUACCAA
This 1909-nucleotide long non-coding RNA is filed under the name Sus scrofa (pig). Its description in RNAcentral is "lncRNA (ENSSSCG00000053850.1)". Lineage: Eukaryota; Metazoa; Chordata; Mammalia; Artiodactyla; Suidae. The record is from RNAcentral.